RNAcentral lists this ribosomal RNA (253 nucleotides) under uncultured bacterium. RNAcentral's name for it is "partial 16S ribosomal RNA". It matches the Rfam family "Bacterial small subunit ribosomal RNA", at positions 524 to 776 of the family's 1533-position model. The record is from RNAcentral.
UACGUAGGGGGCAAGCGUUGUCCGGAUUCAUUGGGCGUAAAGCGAGUGUAGGCGGUCUGCUAAGUCGGGUGUGAAAGCCCUGGGCUCAACCGAGGAAGUGCACUCGAAACUGGCGGGCUAGAGUAUCGGAGAGGUUGGUGGAAUUCUCGGUGUAGAGGUGAAAUUCGUAGAUAUCGAGAGGAACACCGGUGGCGAAGGCGGCCAACUGGACGAAUACUGACGCUGAGACUCGAAAGCGUGGGGAGCAAACAGG